GCGGUGGAGCAUGUGGUUUAAUUCGACGCAACGCGAAGAACCUUACCAGGGCUUGACAUCCCCUGACCGCGUAUGAAAGUACGUUUUCACCCUCGGGUGACAGGGAGACAGGUGGUGCAUGGUUGUCGUCAGCUCGUGUCGUGAGAUGUUGGGUUAAGUCCCGCAACGAGCGCAACCCCUACGUUUAGUUGCUAACGCGUGAAGGCGAGCACUCUAGACGAACUGCCGUUGACAAAACGGAGGAAGGUGGGAUGACGUCGAAUCAUCAUGCCCCUUAUGUUCUGGGCUACACACGUGCUACAAUGGCCGGUACAGACGGACGCAAAGCCGCGAGGUGGAGCAAAUCCUAAAAAGCCGGUCUCAGUUCGGAUUGCAGGCUGCAAUUCGCCUGCAUGAAGUCGGAAUCGCUAGUAAUCGCAGGUCAGCAUACUGCGGUGAAUACGUUCCCGGGCCUU
RNAcentral lists this ribosomal RNA (455 nucleotides) under uncultured Pelotomaculum sp. RNAcentral describes it as "bacterial SSU rRNA". It matches the Rfam family "Bacterial small subunit ribosomal RNA", at positions 929 to 1382 of the family's 1533-position model. Lineage: Bacteria; Bacillati; Bacillota; Clostridia; Eubacteriales; Desulfotomaculaceae. The record is from RNAcentral.